GGCUAAUACCGGAUAAUUCUUUUCUACACAUGUAGAAAAGCUGAAAGAUGGUUUCGGCUAUCACUCAUAGAUGGGCCCGCGGCGCAUUAGCUAGUUGGUGGGGUAAUGGCCUACCAAGGCGGCGACGGGUAGCCGGACUGAGAGGUUGGUCGGCCACAUUGGGACUGAGAUACGGCCCAG
Molecule: ribosomal RNA, 180 nt
Filed under: uncultured Bacillus sp.
Lineage: Bacteria; Bacillati; Bacillota; Bacilli; Caryophanales; Bacillaceae
Description: partial 16S ribosomal RNA
Rfam family: Bacterial small subunit ribosomal RNA
Source: RNAcentral